GUGACGGUACCUGCAGAAAAAGCACCGGCUAACUACGUGCCAGCAGCCGCGGUAAUACGUAGGGUGCAAGCGUUGUCCGGAAUUAUUGGGCGUAAAGAGCUCGUAGGCGGUGUGUCACGUCUGCUGUGAAAAUCCAAGGCUCAACCUUGGACUUGCAGUGGGUACGGGCACACUCGAGUGCGGUAGGGGAGAUUGGAAUUCCUGGUGUAGCGGUGGAAUGCGCAGAUAUCAGGAGGAACACCGAUGGCGAAGGCAGAUCUCUGGGCCGUAACUGACGCUGAGGAGCGAAAGCGUGGGGAGCGAACAGGAUUAGAUACCCUGGUAGUCCACGCCGUAAACGGUGGGAACUAGAUGUGGGGUCCGUUCCACGGAUUCCGUGUCGCAGCUAACGCAUUAAGUUCCCCGCCUGGGGAGUACGGCCGCAAGGCUAAAACUCAAAGGAAUUGACGGGGGCCCGCACAAGCGGCGGAGCAUGCGGAUUAAUUCGAUGCAACGCGAAGAACCUUACCAAGGCUUGACAUAUAGAGGAAAAGUGCAGAGAUGCACUCCCCGCAAGGUCUCUAUACAGGUGGUGCAUGGUUGUCGUCAGCUCGUGUCGUGAGAUGUUGGGUUAAGUCCCGCAACGAGCGCAACCCUCGUCCUAUGUUGCCAGCACGUAAUGGUGGGAACUCAUGGGAUACUGCCGGGGUCAACUCGGAGGAAGGUGGGGAUGACGUCAAAUCAUCAUGCCCCUUAUGUCUUGGGCUUCACGCAUGCUACAAUGGCCGGUACAGAGGGCAGCAAUACCGCAAGGUGGAGCGAAUCCCAGAAAGCCGGUCUCAGUUCGGAUUGAGGUCUG
Molecule: ribosomal RNA, 838 nt
Filed under: marine metagenome
Description: bacterial SSU rRNA
Rfam family: Bacterial small subunit ribosomal RNA
Source: RNAcentral